Molecule: ribosomal RNA, 466 nt
Filed under: uncultured bacterium
Lineage: Bacteria
Description: partial 16S ribosomal RNA
Rfam family: Bacterial small subunit ribosomal RNA
Source: RNAcentral
GACGAACGCUGGCGGCGUGCUUAACACAUGCAAGUCGAACGGAAAGGCCCAGCUUGCUGGGUACUCGAGUGGCGAACGGGUGAGUAACACGUGGGUGAUCUGCCCUGGACUCUGGGAUAAGCCUGGGAAACUGGGUCUAAUACCGGAUAUGACCUUACAUCGCAUGGUGUUUGGUGGAAAGCUUUUGCGGUUCAGGAUGGGCCCGCGGCCUAUCAGCUUGUUGGUGGGGUAAUGGCCUACCAAGGCGACGACGGGUAGCCGACCUGAGAGGGUGAUCGGCCACACUGGGAGUGAGACGCGGCCCGGCCUCCUGCGGGAGGCAGCGGUGGGGAAUAUUGCACAAGGGGCGCAAGCCUGAUGCAGCGCCGCCGCGGGAGGGAUGAGGGCCGUCGGGUUGUAGACCACUUUCACCAGGGAAGAAGCGUGAGUGCCGGUGCGGGGAGAAGAAGCACCGGCCAACUACGUG